Molecule: RNA transcript, 788 nt
Organism: Solanum pennellii
Lineage: Eukaryota; Viridiplantae; Streptophyta; Magnoliopsida; Solanales; Solanaceae
Exons: 3
Source: RefSeq, a predicted model, not a curated record
UCAACUUUCCAUCUUUCUUUUUGUCCCUCCAAAAGUUUCCAGUAGAGUUUAAUAUGCCCUCCAAUUAUUAUAAUAUACUUUAAAAUUAAAAAGUUAAAAGAGAAACCCUAUUCCCUCUAUAGUCGAAUGCCUGAAUAUCGAUCGCACCUCUGCCAUUUUUAUGACAGCUUGUCUCCAUUCUCACAACCCACAUGUAUAUCGAUCUGCGCAUUUGCCAUAUUCAUCUUACUGUUUCCUUAUUCCCAUAGCUUUGCCCUAUUCUCCAUCUUCACGUCGAAAUUAUCUAUUUCAGAUUCAAAUGUUUUGACAGAAUUAAUAGUAUCCUACACUUUGAGGUCUUCAUCGGAUAAACAUUCUACUUUCCAGAUUUGGUUGGUAUAGCUGCGUAUUGGCAUUGGUAAGGACUAGUCGAAUGCAAUUUCAUCAUAUGCAUUAGCUUACCCCUUACUGAAAUUUCAGUAUUGUUCACAGUAGCUGAAGUGUUGGAAACUGAAACAUCUUUCUGCUCAUUGGUCCUAACAUUCAAAUAACUGGUUAUGGACUAAUUUCUUUUACCACGUCUAGCUGCUGCUCUUCGUCCUUGUAACUUCUGUUGACUGGAUCUCUAUUAUGCACUUUUUUUACUCAAUAUGUCUGCUUCUCCUCAUCCUUACUACUAAGGUGACUAUUUUUAGAAGAAUCUUAGUGGAACCAGUCCUUAGUUUUAUCACAAAGUCAUUGGCAUUGUCUUUGGAUCUCUGAUUUUUUUAUGAGAUUAUAUAAUUCCUAUCUCGUGAUGUUUUUAUCAA